CAGCUAGUGGCCCCGCCCGCGCUUAGCAUCACUAACUGGGCUAUAUAACCUGAGCGCCCGCGCGGCCAGGACACGAGGAAUUCGCCCACGCAGGAGGCACGGCGUCCGGAGGCCCCAGGGUUAUGAGACUAUCACUGCUCAGGACCUACUAACAACAAAGGGGUUCCAGAAAGCUGACCUCAUUUAGCAAGCUGCUCCAGAAAAAUAGUCUGAUGAAGAAUAAAAGAGCCAAUGCAACAUCUUGUGGAACACCAGGACUGAGAACUCUUGUUGUUACCAUUGCA
Molecule: long non-coding RNA, 284 nt
Filed under: Pongo abelii (Sumatran orangutan)
Lineage: Eukaryota; Metazoa; Chordata; Mammalia; Primates; Hominidae
Description: lncRNA (ENSPPYG00000030518.1)
Source: RNAcentral